UACGUAGGGUGCAAGCGUUGUCCGGAAUUAUUGGGCGUAAAGAGCUCGUAGGCGGUUUGUCGCGUCUGCUGUGAAAAUCCAGGGCUUAACCCUGGACCUGCAGUGGGUACGGGCAGACUAGAGUGCGGUAGGGGAGAUCGGAAUUCCUGGUGUAGCGGUGAAAUGCGCAGAUAUCAGGAGGAACACCGGUGGCGAAGGCGGAUCUCUGGGCCGUAACUGACGCUGAGGCGCGAAAGCUAGGGGAGCAAACGGG
RNAcentral lists this ribosomal RNA (253 nucleotides) under uncultured bacterium. RNAcentral describes it as "partial 16S ribosomal RNA". It matches the Rfam family "Bacterial small subunit ribosomal RNA", at positions 524 to 776 of the family's 1533-position model. The record is from RNAcentral.